This 497-nucleotide ribosomal RNA is filed under the name uncultured bacterium. RNAcentral's name for it is "partial 16S ribosomal RNA". It matches the Rfam family "Bacterial small subunit ribosomal RNA", at positions 28 to 507 of the family's 1533-position model. The record is from RNAcentral.
GAUGAACGCUGGCUGCAUGCUUAAUACAUGCAAGUCGCGCGGACGCAUGGGGGUCUCUCUCCUCCGCCGUUAGCGGCCGACGCGCGGGUGACUCGCGGAUAACCAACCUAUCCUUCACCGCUGACUUCCGCGGCCAAGGUCUAAUACCUGCCAUUAUUUUUAACUUCACGGCUCCCGAGUGAAAGACGGGUUUGCUCUCACUUCUAGAUGGAUCCGCGCCGCAUUCGCUAGGUGGUAAGGUAACGGCUUACCAAGGCAACGAUGCGAAGCCGACCUGAGAGGGGGAUCGGCCACACUGGACCUGAGACACGGUCCAGACUCCUACGGGAGGCAGCAGUAGGGAAUCUUCCGCAAUGGGCGAAAGCCUGACGGAGCAACGCCGCGUGGGUGAUGAAGGUCUUCGGAUCGUAAAACUCUGUUAUUAGGGAAGAACAAAUGUGUAAGUAACUAUGCACGUCUUGACGGUACCUAAUCAGAAAGCCACGGCUAACUCCGUG